ANAUUUAUCGCCGAAAGAUCGGCCCGCGUCUGAUUAGCUAGUUGGUGAGGUAAUGGCUCACCAAGGCGACGAUCAGUAGCUGGUCUGAGAGGAUGAUCAGCCACAUUGGGACUGAGACACGGCCCAAACUCCUACGGGAGGCAGCAGUGGGGAAUAUUGGACAAUGGGGGCAACCCUGAUCCAGCCAUGCCGCGUGAGUGAUGAAGGCCCUAGGGUUGUAAAGCUCUUUUGUGCGGGAAGAUAAUGACGGUACCGCAAGAAUAAGCCCCGGCUAACUUCGUGCCAGCAGCCGCGGUAAUACGAAGGGGGCUAGCGUUGCUCGGAAUCACUGGGCGUAAAGGGUGCGUAGGCGGGUCUUUAAGUCAGGGGUGAAAUCCUGGAGCUCAACUCCAGAACUGCCUUUGAUACUGAGGAUCUUGAGUUCGGGAGAGGUGAGUGGAACUGCGAGUGUAGAGGUGAAAUUCGUAGAUAUUCGCAAGAACACCAGUGGCGAAGGCGGCUCACUGGCCCGAUACUGACGCUGANGCACGAAAGCGUGGGGAGCAAACAGGAUUA
RNAcentral lists this ribosomal RNA (555 nucleotides) under uncultured Bradyrhizobium sp. RNAcentral describes it as "bacterial SSU rRNA". It matches the Rfam family "Bacterial small subunit ribosomal RNA", at positions 207 to 780 of the family's 1533-position model. Lineage: Bacteria; Pseudomonadati; Pseudomonadota; Alphaproteobacteria; Hyphomicrobiales; Nitrobacteraceae. The record is from RNAcentral.